Molecule: long non-coding RNA, 2347 nt
Organism: Hemibagrus wyckioides
Lineage: Eukaryota; Metazoa; Chordata; Actinopteri; Siluriformes; Bagridae
Exons: 3
Source: RefSeq, a predicted model, not a curated record
AAGGCUCUGGGUCGUUGACCGGAAGAUCAGGGGUUCAAGCCCCAGCACCGCCAAGUUGCCACUGUUGGGCCCUUGAGCAAGGCCCUUAACUCUCUCUCUGCUCCAGGGGCGCCGUAUCAUGGCUGACCCUGCGCUCUGACCCCAACCUCCAAGGAUGGGAUAUGCGAAGAAAGAAUUUCACUGUGUUGUAAUGUAUAUGUGACAAAUAAAGGCUGUUUCAUUUCAUUUCAAGUCAAAGCUCCAUAAUAUUUCCCAGUCCUGUAGAGUCCAAUUGCACAGACAAUUGCAAACAUAAUGUAACACCACAGACUUUGGCUAAAAAUUAGUCUACGCCCUGCAGUAAACACUGAGUCUGACUAGUAUCUUCAUUUUGGCAAGUGUUUAAAUGAUACACAUUGUAGGUACAGUGGAACCUCAGUAUACAAAUUAAUUCAUUCUUGGAGGUGAGAUCUUAUGGCGAAAAUUCGUAUUUCAGCAAGUAAAUGCAGAUAAUCCGUUCCAGCCACCCAAAAAUAUUACCAAUAUUACCAAUUUCCAAGGGUCAGGGGUCCUCACAGGAAGUCAUGUCACCAAGCUCAGAACAGCCCACCCAUGCCACCAAUCUGUCAACAAUCUGUCUGAAAAAUCACCUAGCUUUUGAACGCAUGCUGAAGGCAAGUUUGUAUCGUGGGUUGACUCUUUAGAAACAGCUUUCCCUGACUGAAAAAAAAAUUCGUAAACUUGAAUUGGUUGGCUUCACUUGCCUUUCCACUGAGGCAAAAGAGUUUUGAACAGCUCCCGGACGUAUGCGCAACUUAGCUGGCAAAUUUCUUGGAAAAUUGUAGAGGGUUAAUGGCCUUUUUCAGGGGCCCAACGGCGGCAGCUUGGCAGUCCCCGUUCUUGAAGACCCGAUCUUCCGAGCAACAACCCAGAGCUUUAACCACCUAAGCCAAAGGGAUCUAAACUACUACUUCAUGUAGACCAGGGAUGUACAACCUUAUCUACAAAGGGUCGGUGUGGGUGCAAGCUUUCAUACCAAUCAAGCACGGGCCACACCUGAUUCCACUUGUUGAAUCAACUGAUCUUGGCUUUCAAUAGGCUCAGGUGUGGCUUCUGCUUGGUUGGAAUGAAAACCUGUGGAUAAGACUGGACACCUCUGAUGUAGACCAAAGUUGACAAAAGUACAUAGAAUAGAAAAAAUAUUAAAUCCAUCUAUUUUCUGUUCCACUUAUCCUACAAAGGGUUACAGGAAACCUCCUAGUGACGAAAUUCUAAGAAAAUUCUUAGAAUUAUGACAUUUUCUUAGAAUUUCCCCUUAAAUUUAGGACUAAAUCUUAGUAAAGAUAAAAAUGAUUCACAAAACAUCUUAGCCCUAAAAACAGCUCCUAAGGUAAAAAUUGUUAAGUGUAGAGAGGAGGACUUUUAAGAGGCUUAAGAGUUUCUAUAGCAGAGAACAAAAUGUUGGAAAGAAGAAAUAUUCUCCAAACCCUGAAAAAUCGAGAGUUAAUUGAACGCUACAGAUUGGAUCACGAUGGGAUACUGUUUGUGGUCGAACUUAUUAGAGAUGUGCUCACAUCUCCCACCCAAUGUAGUAAUGCCAUAACGCCAGAAAUGAAAGUGAUUACAACACUGAGGUAUUUGGCAACUGGAAAAAUGCAACAGUGCAGUAGUGAUGACUUGUGUCUGUCACAACCUUCCAUCAGCAGAGUAAUCACAUGGAUGCCAGGAUACUGUCUGAGAGUGGCCUGAGAUAGCUUUUUGAAGGACAUUAUGUGCCAGUUAACUGUCAUUUGUUAGGGGACAGUGGAUAUACAUGCAAACCAUGGCUCCUCACACCUUACCUCCACCCAGACCCAGGAUAACAGCUAAACUACUACAGAGCCCACAAGAAAACACACUCAGUAGAUGAGCAGGGUAUUGGCCAGCUGAAGAGGAGAUUUCAUGUGUUGCGUGGAGAAGUGCGUCUGUCACCAGCUAAGGUCUGCAACGUCAUUACGGCCUGUGCAGUGCUUCACAACAUCUGCAAAGCAUGACAAAUCCCAGAACCUCUCGAAAGCAGCCAUGGUAACGCUGAUGAAGAUGAUGGUGAUGAAGAUGAUGAUGAUGAAGACACUCAGUUUACCCAGGGGAGAGACAUGUCCCAGAGUGGGAUUCGUCACAGACCUCAAUUUACAAAUUUGCAUUUUAGCAGGGUGUUGGGGUAGCUGGAACAGGCAGGCUUAUCUGAUACACUGGUUGAGGCUGAGGGUCGCACACCUGUGACGUUGGCAGCCCCGCUUCCUCUGACAGCUCCAUGCUGCAGAAAAUGCGGAAAACAAUUCUUUUAUUUAUUGUUUUGUUUGUUGUUCACAUGCGAGAACACAAAUGA